This 369-nucleotide ribosomal RNA is filed under the name uncultured phototrophic eukaryote. Its description in RNAcentral is "SSU rRNA". It matches the Rfam family "Bacterial small subunit ribosomal RNA", at positions 524 to 896 of the family's 1533-position model. The record is from RNAcentral.
GACGGAGGAUGCAAGUGUUAUCCGGAAUCACUGGGCGUAAAGCGUCUGUAGGUGGUUUAUUAAGUCGAAUGUUAAAUCUUGAGGCUCAACCUCAAAAUCGCAUUCGAAACUAUUAGACUUGAGUAUAGUAGAGGUAAAGGGAAUUUCUAGUGGAGCGGUGAAAUGCGUAGAUAUUAGAAAGAACACCAAUUGCGAAGGCACUUUACUGGGCUAUUACUGACACUCAGAGACGAAAACUAGGGUAGCAAAUGGGAUUAGAUACCCCAGUAGUCCUAGCCGUAAACGAUGGAUACUAGAUGUUGAACAGUCGCUGCAGUAUCAAAGCUAACGCGUUAAGUAUCCCGCCUGGGAAGUAUGCUCGCAAGAGUG